CGACUAAAAAUAAACUUUUCAUUAAAUGAAAAAUAAAAUACAUUAGGUAUAGAUCUGAUAUAGAAAAAUUAAAAUACAUACACUAAAAUAAAAACCACAUUCUAAUUCUAAUUUCUAUUAUUUUCAUCAUCAUCAUUAAUGACACAUGGCCAAUCAACUCGCAGCAGUAAGGCCUUUAUCAACCUCUGUAUCUCUCUGAACAUCAUUGCUCUCACGGCGACCAACUCACUCUGCAGGUCAUUAACCUGGCUCUGAAGUUCUCGUAUUGUGUCGCGUAAAAUAGUAAUGUCCCAAAUAGGAUCAGCCAUAUUGCAUGAAUUGACAAAUGUAAAAAAAAAGAGUCCAAGUGUAAUACAAUGUAUACUACCAAGUGAUAGAUUUACACCAAAAAAAAACUUAUCUCAAUGAUAAAGGAAUAUACUUUUUGAAGAGAAGUGGUUGAAGAUGUCAAACGAAAAGAAAUAAUGCAAGAAAUAAAUAAAGUUUAGUAGAAUAAAGAUAAAGGAGGGACCUAUUUAUACAGGAUUGAAUCUGGAUGUGUCAGGCCAAAAGGCACGACUGUUAAGCUCCAUUGUAUUAAUUACAUGCAAACUAGUGGCAUUUUACUUUCUGUGAAAAGUCGCAACUUUUUCUUUUACAUUAAUACUUCUCAUAUUUUCAAAACGGUUUUGAGACUAGAUAACAACCGUUAUUAUUAAGCUAUUGCAACAGAUUGUCUGUAUGUGUAAUAGAUGAUCUGUCAAAAUAGAUUUACCAUCUAUUGCACUAGAUGGUUUGUAUAUGCAAUAGAUGAGAUAUCUGUUGCCAUAUAUGUAUUAUCUAUUGUGACAGAUUGACCAUUUUUGGAGAUGUUUUGAUUUCUUCUAAUAGCUGAUUCAUCAGUUGCAACAGAUGAAGAAUUCAAUUCAUCAGCUAUUUUGAAUGUGUUAGAUAAAAAGUCAUAACUACCUCUUUUUUAGUAGUCAUCACAUGCAUGUAGAUGAAUAAAUAUUUUCUAGUCUUUCACAAUAGAUUAACCAUUUAUUACAACAUAUAGAUUAUCUGUUGCGACAGAUGGACCAUAUAUUGGAGGAGAUGUUUUGAUUUCUCAAUAUGGUUUGAUUUUUUCUAAUAACUGAUUCAUCAGUUACAACAGAUGGAGAAUUUGGUUCAUCAGCUAUUUUGAAUAUGUUAGAUAAAAAUUCAUGACUCUUCACCUCUUUUUUAAUAGUCAUCACAUGCGUGCAGAUGAAUAAACAAUGUCUAGUUAGUCGGAACAGAUUUACCAUUUGUUGCAACAUAUGGAUUAUUUGUUGCGAUAGAUGGACCAUACGUUGGAAAAGAUAUUUUGAUUUCUUCCAACAACUGAUUCAUCAAUUUCAAUAGAUAGAGAUUUUAAUUUAUCAGCUUUUUUGAAUGUGUUAAGAUAAAAAGUCAUGACUUUUCACACCUCUUCUUUAAUAGUCAUCAUAUGCGUGCAGAAGAAUAAACAACAUUGUCUAACAUGUCUUGAUGGGGUAGAAGAAUAAGGUGCGUGCAAUGGAUCCACUUUCAUGUGUGGGAGUUAUAUAUUAUUAACUAGGCUACCGUGACAGAAACAUAUAAAGUGCAAUGAUUUUGUGAAUGCAGUUUUUUGCCGAUUGGACACUGAUCCUUCAAACAAGAUCCUGCAUUGUACAAUUUAGUUUGAUAGGUGCGAACUGAUAAGGCUGAAGGGUUCCAAAGCGGUGGUGUCGAUAUUCUAUUACAAUUUAAUGAUGGUCUAUGCUCAUGUUUUUGUGUCAAGUUUGGAUAAGGGUUUAAGUUUUUAGCAGUAGUGUAAAUAUCCAAUAGUGGUUGGGCAGGUUUUUAUGGCACAAUGGACUUCUUAAAAGGUAUCUGAAGCCUCGCACUACAGCAAACAAUGAUGAAACCAAUAGAAAUUCCCCUGGUCCAAAUUUAUAUGGAUGGAUUGCUGGAGGAGACUUUUAUACAAUAGAAGGUGCUUGGGAGAAUACCUGCGCGAAAAGAGGAAGGUUGAGAAGGCCAUAUAUCAUCUCAGCUUCUGUGGAAUAAAUGGCAAAGAAUUAAAAUUCAAAGAAAACAAUCAACAUAUCCAAAGAGAGAAUAGAUAUACAAAUAUAACAAUAAAGUUCAUUCUACAGACAAGAGAAGCAAAGUAAACCAAAAGUAUGAGCGUUCUAUAAGGAAUAAUUCUAUUCCAUUUACCCCAAAAUUGUCAAAUGGCAAGAUAGGUGGAUAUAGAGAAUUAAGUGGUUACACUGGCAGAAUUCAGCUCGAGCACGGCUACCUGGGUGGACCUUGUGGGAGAGAAAGCUAAUCCAUUAUGUGAAGGACUAAAACGUAGUUCAAAUUCUAUGAAUUUGUAAGGCCAAGUUAUUUGGACGGGGCAAAGUCUAAAGGGAUUUGACUUACAAGUUGAGGUUGAGCCUAGAACUGCAGUUAAGAUCACGAUAGAGGAUACACAGGAUGAAGUGAGGUUUUUAAAUACAGUGAUCAUUUUCUAUGCUCUUGGGUCUAAACUACCACAUGCAGUGAUAGAAGGGUAUUUAAUCAAAUGUUAAAGAGAAUGGGCAUCGAAAGGGUAGCACUAGUCCAUAGAAGGAAUCUUUUUAGAGAUUUUCUUUAAAUGAGAAGAAGAUUAAAGUAGCAGAAAAAGGUGAAGGUGUCUAAAUAUUUGAUCGUAAACCCAUUGUGGUUAAAUUUGAAAAUUAGAUGUUGAGGUUACAAAGGAAAAGUGACGAAAGUGUUGGUAUGGAUAAGAUUAUCAGGAUUGAGUGUAGACUAUUGUAGUAAUGCAACCUUGACAAAAAAUACAAAACUAAUAGGGACUCUAUUGAAAGCUGACACAACUACUAUUAAUAAGGAAUAUAUGACUUAUGUCAGGGCACUUAUGGAAA
This 2879-nucleotide long non-coding RNA is filed under the name Capsicum annuum. RNAcentral's name for it is "long non-coding RNA (CANN_LNC008380)". The record is from RNAcentral. Lineage: Eukaryota; Viridiplantae; Streptophyta; Magnoliopsida; Solanales; Solanaceae.